UACGUAGGGUGCAAGCGUUGUCCGGAAUUAUUGGGCGUAAAGAGCUCGUAGGCGGUCUGUCGCGUCGGCUGUGAAAUCCCGAGGCUCAACCUCGGGUCUGCAGUCGAUACGGGCAAACUAGAGUAUUGCAGGGGAGACUGGAAUUCCUGGUGUAGCGGUGAAAUGCGCAGAUAUCAGGAGGAACACCGGUGGCGAAGGCGGGUCUCUGGGCAUUACCUGACGCUGAGGAGCGAAAGUGUGGGGAGCGAACAGG
Molecule: ribosomal RNA, 253 nt
Filed under: uncultured bacterium
Lineage: Bacteria
Description: partial 16S ribosomal RNA
Rfam family: Bacterial small subunit ribosomal RNA
Source: RNAcentral